CCUACGGGAGGCAGCAGUGAGGAAUAUUGGUCAAUGGACGAGAGUCUGAACCAGCCAAGUAGCGUGAAGGAUGACUGCCCUAUGGGUUGUAAACUUUUUUUAUAAAGAAAUAAAACGAGGCACGGGUGCCUUUCGCAUGUACUUUAUGAAUAAGGAUCGGCUAACUCCGUGCCAGCAGCCGCGGUAAUACGGAGGAUGAGAGCGUUAUCCGGUUUUAUUGGGUUUAAAGGGAGCGUAGAUGGGUUGUUAAGUCAGAUGUGAUAGUUUGCGGCUCAACGGUGAAAUUGCAAUUGAUACUGGCAGGCUGGAGUACAGAUGAGGUAGGCGGAAUGCGUGGUGUAGCGGUGAAAUGCUUAGAUAUCACGAAGAACCCCGAUUGCGAAGGCAGCUUACUAAACUGUGACUGACAUUGAUGCUCGAAAGUGUGGGUAUCAAACAGGAUUAGAUACCCCAGUAGUC
Molecule: ribosomal RNA, 459 nt
Filed under: uncultured bacterium
Lineage: Bacteria
Description: partial 16S ribosomal RNA
Rfam family: Bacterial small subunit ribosomal RNA
Source: RNAcentral